GAGAAGCAGACAUUAUUUGAACAAGAUUCUGGAUUCUGAAUUUCACAAAGAAGGUGCAAGGCUAUGAUUUUUUCUUCAAGUUUCAUCAAAUUUUUCUGCAUAAGAUGAAUGAAUGAAUAAGUUACUAACUAACUAACUAAAGACGCCCUCAUCAAGCAGCUUUUACUGGCUGAACCAAGUGUCCUAUGGCCUUCAUCAAGCUGCGCUCUCUCUGAGGUAACCAGAUUUUUUAUCCCAUUGAUAUGUUUUCCAAUUGAAACAGAGAAUCGGUCAGCAAGGAAGGCAUCCUAGAACCAUUCUAGGACCAUGCUAGGAGCCUAAACCUCAAAAAUUCAGAGCAAUGUUUACCAUGGCAAUUUUGAGAAAGGAUCCAAUGAAUUCAAGCCAGUAAGUGUGUGAUGCAGAUUCUGUAUAUCUCUAGGUUCAAACCAAUGAGUCUGAGAUUUCACAUAAAUAAUAACAACCCACUGUUUCUCCUUCAUAUCAUUUGCACAUCUGGUCAAUGAGAUGGAGUAGCUGAUUUUUGCCAUCUCUUCUGUAUGUCUCAUGGCAGGUUCUCUGGGUACCAGUACUGGUCAGUGAGCAGUUCAGAUGGCUAUGUUUUCACCUUCCUGUAAGUUUCACACAGUAAAUGCUGGUGUAACUAUAAAAUAUCUGUGGGUGACCUUUCUGACCCCUGAGUAAUUUUGUUUGCUUUUGAUAUUUAGUCAUAGCAUAUAUUUAUCACCAGAGCAAACUCAGCGUGGAGGCGGGGGAAAAUAUAUUUAAGUAGCUCUUAACUCUUUGAAGCCAAUAGUAUCUGUUUGGUUUUGCUUGUUCACUCCUUGUAGUUCAUAGGAGUGCAACUAUCUCACAGAGGAUAGAUAGUGAUUUUUUCCAUCACUGAUGGAAAGUCAAGAACAUUUCAUCAACACAGAGAAGGUCUGAUCAAAUGAAUAUUUAAGGAUGGGUUUUUUAUUGGGUUUUAUUUGAUGGAAGAUAAGAGGAUCUAUAAAUGGUAAAAUAUCCAACCUUCAGCCCUAGUACCACUCUGCCACUUGCUGAUGUGCUCCUGAGGGGAACUUCAUUAAGGCAUAUGGACCCUAACAUGAUGCCAUCCUGUGUGUCUGAUCUAACACCAGCACAUGGAGCAGGACUCCAGGCUAAUCCAGGGCUCCAACAAGGGCAGCCAUACCAAGGGUGAAGCCAUAGGGGCCUUAGGGGUGUGUGCUGAGGGUCUUGAGCCACUCAUUGCCAUUGCCUCUGCCUGCCCAUUCCUCCCAGCCGUGUGACAAGGAGAGGGGCUGCAUGAACACCUGCAGUGCUGGCACCUAGAGUGAUACAUACCUGUCCUUGGGCUUGAGUGAGCAGAAAGAUUCCCCAUGAAGUCAAAAGAGCUUGUGUGAUCUUUGAUGCCUGCUGGUGUGAGCAUUUCAAGGACAUUGAAGUUAUAGCACCAUCCAGACUGCAAAGAAUAUGGAAACAUUAGUGACCAUCACCCUCACAAGGGGCAGGUGGAAGGAAUGGUUUGUCCUCCUGGGUUGCCACAGGAGGCUUCUCCUCUUAGACAGCUUGCUCAUCUAUAACUGGGGUUGGAAAAUGUAAGCCAAAAUGGAAUCUGCAUUGAAAGAAUUUUGUGGGCUGUACGAAUCAUAAGGGUAACUGCUACACAAAAUACUGUCCACUGAGGCAUAUAUUUUAAAGGUUAGAUAAAAUAUCUCCUAGCCAUUUUUUCCAGUUCUUUUCUUUUUAUAGUCCACUGCAAAACAACAAUAGAUAAAAAGACUGUAUAUAAUGCAUGUAUAUUUUGUUGGGUUUUUUUUUUACCUUUCCCAAAGGAGUCUCUGUGCUUCCCACACUAAUUGUAGGUUUUUCUGAAAAUGCUGCAUGAAUCAUUUAUAAAUAAAGAGACUUUAAAAUCCCUAAAAGACUCCCUGAGGUAUUCAGUAUUUCAGCAUAAAAUAACUGUUAA
Long non-coding RNA from Parus major (Great Tit), 1951 nucleotides. RefSeq lists it as uncharacterized. The transcript has 3 exons. The record is from RefSeq and is a predicted model, not a curated record. NCBI's taxonomy places the organism in Eukaryota, Metazoa, Chordata, Aves, Passeriformes, Paridae.